GAAAGGCCAAUCAAACUCGGAAAUAGCUGGUUCUCCGCGAAAACUAUUUAGGUAGUGCGUCGACCGAAUACCCUCGGGGGUAGAGCACUGGAUGGGCUAUGGGGACUCACCGUCUUACUGAUCCUAACCAAACUCCGAAUACCGAGGAGUACUAGUCGGCAGACACACGGCGGGUGCUAACGUCCGUCGUGAAGAGGGCAACAACCCUGACCUCCAGCUAAGGUCCCCAAGUCAUGGCUAAGUGGGAAAGGAUGUGAGGAUCCCAAAACAACCAGGAUGUUGGCUUAGAAGCAGCCAUCAUUUAAAGAAAGCGUAACAGCUCACUGGUCUAAAUAAGGGUCUUUGCGCCGAAAAUGUAACGGGGCUAAAGCCAUGCACCGAAGCUGAGGAUACGUCGCAAGACGUGUGGUAGCGGAGCGUUCCGUAAGCCUGUGAAGGGGUACCUGUGAGGGGCCCUGGAGGUAUCGGAAGUGCGAAUGUUGACAUGAGUAACGAUAAAGGGAGUGAGAGACUCCCUCGCCGAAAGACCAAGGGUUCCUGCUUAAAGUUAAUCUGAGCAGGGUUAGCCGGCCCCUAAGAUGAGGCAGAAAUGCGUAGUCGAUGGGAACCACGUUAAUAUUCGUGGGCCUGGUGGUAGUGACGGAUCGCACAAAUCGUACAUUCUUAUUGGAUUGAAUGUGCGGUGGAGCGGUUCCAGGAAAUAGCUCCACCCUAUAGACCGUACCCGAAACCGACACAGGUGGUCAGGUAGAGUAUACCAAGGCGCUUGAGAGAACUAUGCUGAAGGAACUCGGCAAAUUGCACGCGUAACUUCGGAAGAAGCGUGACCCUUAUGUACGCAAGUAUGUGAGGGUGGCACAGACCAGGGGGUAGCGACUGUUUAUCAAAAACACAGGGCUCUGCGAAGUCGCAAGACGACGUAUAGGGUCUGACGCCUGCCCGGUGCUGGAAGGUUAAGAGGAGAGGUGCAAGCUUUGAAUCGAAGCCCCAGUAAACGGCGGCCGUAACUAUAACGGUCCUAAGGUAGCGAAAUUCCUUGUCGGGUAAGUUCCGACCUGCACGAAUGGCGUAACGACUUCCCCGCUGUCUCCAGCAUAGACUCAGUGAAAUUGAAUUCCCCGUGAAGAUGCGGGGUUCCUGCGGUCAGACGGAAAGACCCCGUGCACCUUUACUAUAGCUUUACACUGGCAUUCGUGUCGGCAUGUGUAGGAUAGGUGGUAGGCUUUGAAGCAGGGACGCCAGUUUCUGUGGAGCCAUCCUUGAAAUACCACCCUUAUCGUCAUGGAUGUCUAACCGCGGUCCGUUAUCCGGAUCCGGGACAGUGUAUGGUGGGUAGUUUGACUGGGGCGGUCGCCUCCGAAAGAGUAACGGAGGCGCGCGAUGGUGGGCUCAGACCGGUCGGAAAUCGGUCGUCGAGUGCAAUGGCAUAAGCCCGCCUGACUGCGAGACUGACAAGUCGAGCAGAGACGAAAGUCGGUCAUAGUGAUCCGGUGGUCCCGCGUGGAAGGGCCAUCGCUCAACGGAUAAAAGGUACGCCGGGGAUAACAGGCUGAUGACCCCCAAGAGUCCAUAUCGACGGGGUUGUUUGGCACCUCGAUGUCGGCUCAUCGCAUCCUGGGGCUGGAGCAGGUCCCAAGGGUUUGGCUGUUCGCCAAUUAAAGCGGUACGUGAGCUGGGUUCAGAACGUCGUGAGACAGUUCGGUCCCUAUCUGCCGUGGGUGUAGGAAUAUUGACAGGAUCUGUCCCUAGUACGAGAGGACCGGGAUGGACAUAUCUCUGGUGGACCUGUUGUCGUGCCAACGGCAUAGCAGGGUAGCUAUAUAUGGAAUGGAUAACCGCUGAAGGCAUCUAAGCGGGAAACCAACCUGAAAACGAGUGUUCCCUAUCAGAGCCGUGGAAGACUACCACGUUGAUAGGCCGGGUGUGGAAGUGCAGUAAUGCAUGAAGCUUACCGGUACUAAUAGCUCGAUUGGCUUGAUC
Molecule: ribosomal RNA, 1980 nt
Filed under: Paenirhizobium selenitireducens ATCC BAA-1503
Lineage: Bacteria; Pseudomonadati; Pseudomonadota; Alphaproteobacteria; Hyphomicrobiales; Rhizobiaceae
Description: bacterial LSU rRNA
Rfam family: Bacterial large subunit ribosomal RNA
Source: RNAcentral